Molecule: ribosomal RNA, 301 nt
Filed under: uncultured bacterium
Lineage: Bacteria
Description: partial 16S ribosomal RNA
Rfam family: Bacterial small subunit ribosomal RNA
Source: RNAcentral
CAGCCGCCGCGUUAAUACAGAGGGUGCGAGCGUUAAUCGGAUUUACUGGGCGUAAAGCGUGCGUAGGCGGCUUCUUAAGUCGGAUGUGAAAUCCCUGAGCUUAACUUAGGAAUUGCAUUCGAUACUGGGAAGCUAGAGUAUGGGAGAGGAUGGUAGAAUUCCAGGUGUAGCGGUGAAAUGCGUAGAGAUCUGGAGGAAUACCGAUGGCGAAGGCAGCCAUCUGGCCUAAUACUGACGCUGAGGUACGAAAGCAUGGGGAGCAAACAGGAUUAGAUACCCCCGUAGUCCCUGUCUCUUAUAC